This 22-nucleotide non-coding RNA is filed under the name Arabidopsis thaliana (thale cress). Lineage: Eukaryota; Viridiplantae; Streptophyta; Magnoliopsida; Brassicales; Brassicaceae. The record is from RNAcentral.
UAAACUCGCGGUGCCACGGCUU